This 280-nucleotide signal recognition particle RNA is filed under the name Castor canadensis (American beaver). RNAcentral describes it as "Metazoan signal recognition particle RNA (ENSCCNG00000013979.1)". It matches the Rfam family "Metazoan signal recognition particle RNA". Rfam says of the family: The signal recognition particle (SRP) is a universally conserved ribonucleoprotein. It is involved in the co-translational targeting of proteins to membranes. Lineage: Eukaryota; Metazoa; Chordata; Mammalia; Rodentia; Castoridae. The record is from RNAcentral.
GUCUAGCAUGGUGGCAAGUACCUGUAGUCCUAGCAAUUCAGGAGGCUGAGGCAGGAGGAUCACUUCAGAAUUUCUGAGCUGUAGUGCGCUAUGCCGAUCAGGUAUCCACAUUAAAUUCAGCAUCAAUAUGGUGACCUCCACGGAGUGAGGGACCAAUAGGUUAUUUAAGGGGGAGUGAACUGGCCCAGGUUGGGAAUAGAGUAGAUCAAAACACCUUUGUUGAUCAGAAGUGUGAUUGCACCGCACUCCAGUUGGAGCAAGACAAGAAGACUCUGUCUCU